GACCGAGGGUGCGAUCGUUGUUCGGAAUUACUGGGCGUAAAGCGCAUGUAGGCGGCAGCGCAAGUCGGGCGUGAAAUCCCACGGCUCAACCGUGGAAGUGCACUCGAAACUGCGCAGCUAGAGUCCUGGAGAGGAAGGUGGAAUGCUUGGUGUAGAGGUGAAAUUCGUAGAUAUCAAGCGGAACACCGGUGGCGAAGGCGGCCUUCUGGACAGUGACUGACGCUGAGAUGCGAAAGCAUGGGGAGCGAACAGG
RNAcentral lists this ribosomal RNA (253 nucleotides) under uncultured bacterium. RNAcentral's name for it is "partial 16S ribosomal RNA". It matches the Rfam family "Bacterial small subunit ribosomal RNA", at positions 524 to 776 of the family's 1533-position model. The record is from RNAcentral.